Cyanistes caeruleus (blue tit) is the source of this 1784-nucleotide non-coding RNA. Lineage: Eukaryota; Metazoa; Chordata; Aves; Passeriformes; Paridae. The record is from RefSeq and is a predicted model, not a curated record.
UUCCUAAAUUAGUCAUGGGGCAGGUGGAAAUGUCACCCCCACCACCAUCCCCCCGGGAGCCCAGCGAGCCGCAGAGGUGUGCGGGAUAUAAUUAAGUCGUGAUUUUUUUCCUUUGCUGUCUCCCCUCCUUUAUUCCCCAAUUCCCAUCUGAUUAUUUGAAACUCGUCCAGCAGUGGCACGGGAAGGAAUUUUUCUCUAAACUCCUGAAAAACAAAAAGAAAAAAAAAAGGUGGGGGGAAUUAAAUCUUAAUUUUUUUGUUGUUUUUUUUCCUUUUCAGUCAAGCUGUUCAGAGAAAGGAAUGUGGAGUGAAUCUUCCCGGAAUGUCUCUUUACAAGGAAUUUUUUGAACAGUUUGUUUUUUGUAAAUAGACACAAAUUCCUAAACUAUUAUCUCUCCAGAGAUCCUCCUCCUCCCCAGUUAACUCACAUAAAAUAAGGCUUUUUAAGGCCUGAGGAAGGAGGUUUGUGGCUUCAAACCUCCUUUGUCUCAGCCCAGCUGUGUCCGUUCAGCUAAAAUAAAAAUAAAAAUGUUGUUUUUCUCUUCAAAGCUGUUUCUUCUCCUCAGCCACCAGGCCAAAACCAAGUGCUAAAAUGAGCUGCUCAUGAAUAAACAUGAGCUGCAAAUCAGGGAAAUUUUAACUGCCAGAGGUCAAGGUUCUGGAGGUUUUGCAGGGAAGAUAUUGAAGGUAAGAAAGGAAAUCAGGUUUAAGGUAGAACCUGGUGAUUUUAUGGGUGUGAGUACAGCUAAAGAGCUUACCCAGUCUUAAUUCCAAUGUUCCCACUGUUAUUAUCAUUAUUAUUAGGGGAAAUAUUAAUGAUUAAUUUGGUUUUUCCUGGAGGCACCCCUUGCACUGUCACCAUCAGUUCCAGGGUAAAAUGAUAAUCCCAGAGAAAUCUGGAACUUGGAUUCUCAAGCAAACUCAGGGAAGUUGAAUUUCCAGCCCUGCUGGGCAUUUCCAGGGUAUCCCCACAUCACCCCUCAACUGAUAAAGGUAAAAAAUUGCUAAAUUGUCCCCAAACUGUCUCCUACUCAAGAGUUUUAUGCCUUUUAUUGCUUUUCUCACCCAUUCCUGAACUAGGAAGCUGUCUGGGUUAAGAAAUCCAACUCCAGGGAUUAUUUUACUGCAUUUGACCUCAUGUGAAGGGAAAAAGAAACCAAGAGGCUCCAAAAUGGUGUCAAAGGUCCGAGGGGACACCGACCCCGGCCACCUCUGCUCCAGUUCUCUUUGCACUGCAGACCUGCUAAUCCAAAUAUUUCUGGAAGAUUCCAUCCCAGGGAGUGGAAUUUGCAUUCUGCCCAGUUGGAUUUGCCUGCAGGGACGCGGCUCGGGGAUACAGGUGGGGUUUUUACCCUUGGGAAAGGGUGAAACAAAUGAGGAUUUGGCCAAAGCUGUAUCAAAAGAAACAAGGAACGAUUGGUGUUGGAAGCAGACAGUAAAUGUGGUGGAUGGUUUGGGAUCAGGGAAUCCAGAGCAGUGUCCCACUAUCUCCAUAAGGAAUGUCAACACUUCUGUUUCUUCUGGGAACGGGAGGAUUGAAGGACACGGGGCUGUUUGUUGUUGUGUUGGGCUUUGUUGAAGCUCCCAGCUGCAAACCCCAUUCCUGGCAGUGUAAAACUCAUUUCUCCUUGAUGCAAAAGCUCAUUUAAAAACUCAUUUCUCCUCAGUGUAAAUGUUCCUUUUCCUCAGUGUAAAAGCUCCUUUCUCCUCACUGUAAAAGCUCAUUUCUCCUCGGUGUAAAAGCUCCUUUCUCUUCAGUGUAAAAGCUCAUUUCUCUUCAUUUAA